RNAcentral lists this ribosomal RNA (434 nucleotides) under uncultured Lachnospiraceae bacterium. RNAcentral describes it as "partial 16S ribosomal RNA". It matches the Rfam family "Bacterial small subunit ribosomal RNA", at positions 341 to 792 of the family's 1533-position model. The record is from RNAcentral. Lineage: Bacteria; Bacillati; Bacillota; Clostridia; Lachnospirales; Lachnospiraceae.
ACGGGAGGCAGCAGUGGGGGAUAUUGCACAAUGGGGGAAACCCUGAUGCAGCGACGCCGCGUGGGUGAUGAAGUAUUUCGGUAUGUAAAGCUCUAUCAGCAGGAAAGAUAAUGACGGUACCUGACUAAGAAGCACCGGCUAAAUACGUGCCAGCAGCCGCGGUAAUACGUAUGGUGCAAGCGUUAUCCGGAUUUACUGGGCGUAAAGGGAGCGCAGACGGCAUGGCAAGCCAGAUGUGAAAGGCAGGGGCUCAACUCCUGGACUGCAUUUGGAACUGUCAAGCUAGAGUAUCGGAGAGGUAAGUGGAAUUCCUAGUGUAGCGGUGAAAUGCGUAGAUAUUAGGAGGAACACCAGUGGCGAAGGCGGCUUACUGGACGAUAACUGACGUUGAGGCUCGAAAGCGUGGGGAGCAAACAGGAUUAGAUACCCUGGUA